AUGCUGUUCUGCUGCUCUCUCUCGCCCCCGGGAAUCCAAACUUAUCCGCUCCCACCAUUCCAGCAGCAGAGCAGCUCCCCGCGGAAAGUACGCAGCUUCGGCCGGCACAAGAGCAGCAAGGCCGAGCAUCAAUAUUUCAGGGCGCAAUCUUCCCGGGCGCGGACCAGGGACCAACCUUUGCGUGCCCAAACGCACCCAGAUGAUGGCUACGGCCCUCCGGAGCAAGACCCUGAGGCCGAGGGGCGCUCGCCAGGCUCCCCGGACGCGGAGACGCUUGCUUCCUGGUUGCGUUCCUGCGGCACCGUGGCCGAUGUUCGGCGAGUGCACGGGGUUGCUGUGCGGUCGCCGGAUGGCCCGGGGAUUUUCCUGGCUAAUAAUUUGAUCACUUCAUAUGCGAGGUUCCAUGAGAUUUCAGACGCGAGGAAGGUGUUUGAUGAAAUGCCUGAGAGGACCGUUGUGUCGUGGACGGCUAUGAUGAAUGGGUAUCAGAAAUCGGGCAGCUACAGUGAGGUCGUCAGGCUGUUCUUGGAUAUGAUGGCCAGCGGGGAGCGAGGUAACAGCUUGAGUUUCGUCUGCUUGUUGAAGUCUUGUGGUGAGCAAUCCAAUGCUAAGCUAGGGCGGCAGGUCCAUUGUUGUGUUGUGAAAGGAGGGUGGAGCAACGUGAUUGUGGAUAGUGCCGUUGCACACUUCUAUGCUCGGUGUGGUGAUGUUGCCAGCGCUUCAAUGAUGUUCGAUAAGAUGACCUCUCGUGAUGUCAUCUCGUGGACAACAAUGAUCACGGCUUAUGUGCAGCAUGGGCGUGGGGAUAAGGCCCUUCAGAUGUUUCCGGCGAUGAUCUCUGAGGGAUUUCACCCUAAUGAGUUCACGGUGUGCAGCAUCCUCAAGGCUUGUGCAGAAGAGAAGGCUCUAAGAUGUGGGAAGCAGCUGCAUGGUGCUCUUGUGAAGAAGUUGUUCAAAAAUGACAUCCAUGUCGGCAGCGCUCUUGUUACCAUGUAUGCCAGAAACAGGGAAGUGUCUGAUGCUCAGGCAGUGUUUGAUAUGAUGCCUAGAAGAAACACUAUUACAUGGACUUCUCUGAUCUCGGGCUAUGCGCAGAGUAGCCAGGCUGAAAAGGCUAUCAUGUUGUUUCGACAGAUGAAGACGCGACGGGUGUCUGUUAACAAUCUUACCAUUGUUGGUCUUCUUAGUGCCUGUGGCUCCAUAAGAUCACUCAGUCUUGGUAAGGAACUGCAUGCACAGGUAAUAAAGAAUUCAAUUCAGGAGAAUCUUCAAAUUGGGAGUACGCUUGUUUGGUGCUACUGUAAAUGUGGAGAGUAUACAUAUGCUGCACGAAUUCUAGAAGAAAUGCCAGACCGUGAUGCUGUCUCAUGGACAGCUAUGAUUUCAGGCUACAAUAGUGUUGGUCAUAGUGCUGAAGCACUCAAGUCAUUAGAUGAUAUGUUAUGGGAUGGUGUGACUCCAAAUACCUACACUUAUUCCUCAGCUUUGAAAGCCUGUGCGAAACUAGAGGCUCUGCAAGAUGGAAGGAGGAUUCACGGUGUUGUUAACAAGACUCCUGCCUUCUCAAAUGUGUUUGUGGGAAGCUCAUUGAUCGACAUGUACAUGAGGUGUGGAAAAGUUGACGAAGCUCGACGAGUCUUCAACGCCAUGCCAGAACACAACUUGGUAACAUGGAAAGUGAUAAUUACAGGAUUUGCUCAGAAUGACCUCUGUGAAGAGGCUUUUAAGUAUAUGUACCUAAUGCAGCAACAAGGGCACGACGCUGAUGACUUUAUGCUUUCAAAAGUUCUGACAUCAUGCGGUGAUCUUCAAUGGAAGUCAGAUUCCAUCUCUUUUUCUGGCUCGAAUACUGGUUCACUCAGAUAG
RNAcentral lists this ribosomal RNA (1866 nucleotides) under Triticum aestivum (bread wheat). RNAcentral's name for it is "partial small subunit ribosomal RNA". The record is from RNAcentral. Lineage: Eukaryota; Viridiplantae; Streptophyta; Magnoliopsida; Poales; Poaceae.